UUGGGAUGUCUCUGAGGUUAUAAUAUUC
Molecule: non-coding RNA, 28 nt
Filed under: Mus musculus (house mouse)
Lineage: Eukaryota; Metazoa; Chordata; Mammalia; Rodentia; Muridae
Source: RNAcentral